CGACCGGCAAACGGGUGCGGAACACGUACGCAACCUUCCUUCAAGCGAGGGAUAGCCCAGAGAAAUUUGGAUUAAUACCUCAUAGGAAUGUAGUCUCGCAUGAGACAGCAUUUAAAGAUUUAUCACUUGAAGAUGGGCGUGCGUCUGAUUAGGUAGUUGGUGAGGUAACGGCUCACCAAGCCGACGAUCAGUAACUGGCGUGAGAGCGCGACCAGUCACACGGGCACUGAGACACGGGCCCGACUCCUACGGGAGGCAGCAGUAAGGAAUAUUGGUCAAUGGACGCAAGUCUGAACCAGCCAUGCCGCGUGGAGGAUGAAGGCCCUCUGGGUUGUAAACUUCUUUUAUUUGGGACGAAACACUUUCUUUCUAGAGAGCUUGACGGUACCAGAUGAAUAAGCACCGGCUAACUCCGUGCCAGCAGCCGCGGUAAUACGGAGGGUGCAAGCGUUAUCCGGAUUCACUGGGUUUAAAGGGUGCGUAGGCGGAUAUGUAAGUCCGUGGUGAAAUCUCCGAGCUUAACUCGGAAACUGCCAUGGAUACUAUAUAUCUUGAAUGUUGUGGAGGUUAGCGGAAUAGUUCAUGUAGCGGUGAAAUGCUUAGAUAUGACCUAGAACACCGAUUGCGAAGGCAGCUGGCUACACAACGAUUGACGCUGAGGCACGAAAGCGUGGGGAUCAAACAGGAUUAGAUACCCUGGUAGUCCACGCCCUAAACGAUGAUUACUCGACAUUUGCGAUAUACAGUAAGUGUCUGAGCGAAAGCAUUAAG
Molecule: ribosomal RNA, 771 nt
Filed under: Chitinophaga sp. VPMK53I
Lineage: Bacteria; Pseudomonadati; Bacteroidota; Chitinophagia; Chitinophagales; Chitinophagaceae
Description: bacterial SSU rRNA
Rfam family: Bacterial small subunit ribosomal RNA
Source: RNAcentral